UUGCAGCCAUACCGCGUUCAAAUAUCGUUUCUCGUACGAUCACUGAAGUUAAGCAACGUCGAGCCUAGUCAGCACCUAGAUGAAUAACCGCUUGGAAAUACCAGGUGCUGUAAG
Acanthosepion pharaonis is the source of this 114-nucleotide non-coding RNA. Lineage: Eukaryota; Metazoa; Mollusca; Cephalopoda; Sepiida; Sepiidae. The record is from the annotation of a GenBank genome assembly.